Molecule: long non-coding RNA, 1740 nt
Organism: Cygnus atratus (black swan)
Lineage: Eukaryota; Metazoa; Chordata; Aves; Anseriformes; Anatidae
Exons: 4
Source: RefSeq, a predicted model, not a curated record
CCACUGCCACCCCUCUGCAUGACCACACAGCCCUUGGGCCGCCGUUCAACCUGUGAGACAUUAUUUAGGAGCUGGGGGAUGUGCUAGCUGGCUACACUGAGAAUAAAAUCCUGGCUGCAGCAGCACACUGCUCCCAGCCCAAGCCCCCUGUAUGGGCUGGUAGAUGGGCAUGGGCCAGGGCCAGGGCCAGGGCCAGCACAGCAGGGCAUGGCCACCAAGGCCAGUCAGGCCUGCACCCUGCCAGAACACAACUCCUCCCAUGAGGUGAUUUUCAGGAGCAGCUGCCCAGUGCAACGGUACAUAUUUGCUUCUGAAUCCUUUCUCAAAGGCACUAUUUAAACAUGUUGAUGAACUGAACUGGAUUUCUCCCCACCUCCAUUCCAAGCAAAACAAGGAGACUCAGAAGAUAAAAUUUGUUUUGAUAUUGCAAGUAGUGCUAUGUGGCUGUACCUACCAUGAUUUGAAAAUGAAAUUCAAAGUAUUGACAAGGUGAUGAAUCUUCUCCUUCUCUGAACUUCACAUACUCAGAGGCUUUCAGAAACUAAUUGAAGCUGUGAAAAAAAUACACCAAAAGAGUGAAAAAAGAUCUGUGGAUUUCAUUUAGAAAUAGUUUUGUCUUUUGGACGAGUUGCAACAUGAAAACAAGUAUUUAUGAUAGAAAUGCUGACAUAACUUCACUAAUAGCACCUCUAACAGAGAUUGUUACAAUGUGUAUUUACUCAGUACAGCAUUAAAUAAGAGAUGUGAACUCACCAUAGCAACCCCUGCAUCACAUUGCAGAUAUGCUGCUUCUAAGAUACGGCAAACGUUUCUGAAGGAAUAUACACAAAUAUUAGGUAAACAUCUAUCAAUUGCAAAUUGGGUUUCAAAAAUACUUUGCUAAACAGUAUUAUAAAAAGCAGUAUAGCUUGAUGUUAUGUAAAUUAAUAAAUUAUGGCUGGACUUUGCUUUUUAUUUUCUCACGAUUGUUACCUCAAAAUGUAAUUUUAAGCAGCUCCCCAACUGUCUAUGAGAAAAAUAGUGGCAAGUACAUUGUUGAGCUCCUCCAAAUUGUCACCUAGAAUCUUUACCCACCCAGCAGACUCACCUGUCCCUUUCAGGCCUUCUCUUUCUGCCAUCCUGAGAUCUUGCUAAAAUACUGCUCUUCACCACAAGAGAUCCAGAGGAAUUAUAUGGAUACAGUCAAGGCUAGAAGUAGGUUUUCUGCUGAACUGUCAUAGUCCAUUUUUAAACAUAUGACUAUUUUCUCUUCAUUACCACUCUACUCUUACUUUUCAGUUUGAAUUUUAUCCACUAAUAUGUAUUCAUUUAACUUGUCUUUAUUCAAAUGGAUUUCUAUCCUUGGCAUGAACAAAAUGUCAUUGUAUUGGCAAUGUUACUUUUUUUUUUCCCCUUAAUUUUUUCAUCCUUUUAGUGAGUCUCCUAUGACUGAUAUAAACAUUUUUUGUGUUUAGUUUUGGCACUCCUCUUUUGGUGGCCUGAUCCUUAAAGUUCCAGUACUAUAUCUUAAUGAAAAGCUUUUAAGUUGCUACUGAGUUACCAUCAACUUCAGCUUGACCAAAAUCCUUGGCAGGUUGCCUGUUCAUAUACAUCAACUUUAAAUUACUUCUGCAGUACCUAAAACAAGAUCCUGAUGAUGUGCAGUGGGUUGCCAUGCCUGCUGCAAUCAAGAUUUUGCUGUCAGAUCUUCCUUAUACUCCAUCCAACAAUUCUUAACAGACUUUACUCCUGGAAGGUGAA